Long non-coding RNA from Salvelinus fontinalis (brook trout), 4095 nucleotides. RefSeq lists it as uncharacterized. NCBI's taxonomy places the organism in Eukaryota, Metazoa, Chordata, Actinopteri, Salmoniformes, Salmonidae. The transcript has 8 exons. The record is from RefSeq and is a predicted model, not a curated record.
GGACACUACAUGGAACUAGAGGUAGGAUCACCUGGUGGGACACUACAUGGAACUAGAGGUAGGUUCACCUGGCUGGGACACUACAUGGAACUAGAGGUAGGUUCACCUGGUGGGACACUACAUGGAACUAGAGGUAGGAUCACCUGGCUGGGACACUACAUGGAACUAGAGGUAGGUUCACCUGGUGGGACACUACAUGGAACUAGAGGUAGGUUCACCUGGCUGGGACACUACAUGGAACUAGAGGUAGGUUCACCUGGUGGGACACUACAUGGAACUAGAGGUAGGAUCACCUGGUGGGACACUACAUGGAACUAGAGGUAGGUUCACCUGGUGGGACACUACAUGGAACUAGAGGUAGGUUCACCUGGUGGGACACUACAUGGAACUAGAGGUAGGUUCACCUGGCUGGGACACUACAUGGAACUAGAGGUAGGUUCACCUGGUGGGACACUACAUGGAACUAGAGGUAGGUUCACCUGGUGGGACACUACAUGGAACUAGAGGUAGGAUCACCUGGUGGGACACUACAUGGAACUAGAGGUAGGUUCACCUGGUGGGACACUACAUGGAACUAGAGGUAGGUUCACCUGGUGGGACACUACAUGGAACUAGAGGUAGGUUCACCUGGCUGGGACACUACAUGGAACUAGAGGUAGGUUCACCUGGUGGGACACUACAUGGAACUAGAGGUAGGAUCACCUGGCUGGGACACUACAUGGAACUAGAGGUAGGAUCACCUGGUGGGACACUACAUGGAACUAGAGGUAGGUUCACCUGGUGGGACACUACAUGGAACUAGAGGUAGGUUCACCUGGUGGGACACUACAUGGAACUAGAGGUAGGUUCACCUGGCUGGGACACUACAUGGAACUAGAGGUAGGUUCACCUGGUGGGACACUACAUGGAACUAGAGGUAGGUUCACCUGGUGGGACACUACAUGGAACUAGAGGUAGGAUCACCUGGUGGGACACUACAUGGAACUAGAGGUAGGUUCACCUGGUGGGACACUACAUGGAACUAGAGGUAGGUUCACCUGGUGGGACACUACAUGGAACUAGAGGUAGGAUCACCUGGCUGGGACACUACAUGGAACUAGAGGUAGGUUCACCUGGUGGGACACUACAUGGAACUAGAGGUAGGAUCACCUGGUGGGACACUACAUGGAACUAGAGGUAGGAUCACCUGGCUGGGACACUACAUGGAACUAGAGGUAGGAUCACCUGGUGGGACACUACAUGGAACUAGAGGUAGGUUCACCUGGUGGGACACUACAUGGAACUAGAGGUAGGAUCACCUGGUGGGACACUACAUGGAACUAGAGGUAGGUUCACCUGGUGGGACACUACAUGGAACUAGAGGUAGGUUCACCUGGUGGGACACUACAUGGAACUAGAGGUAGGAUCACCUGGCUGGGACACUACAUGGAACUAGAGGUAGGUUCACCUGGUGGGACACUACAUGGAACUAGAGGUAGGAUCACCUGGUGGGACACUACAUGGAACUAGAGGUAGGAUCACCUGGUGGGACACUACAUGGAACUAGAGGUAGGUUCACCUGGUGGGACACUACAUGGAACUAGAGGUAGGAUCACCUGGUGGGACACUACAUGGAACUAGAGGUAGGUUCACCUGGUGGGACACUACAUGGAACUAGAGGUAGGAUCACCUGGUGGGACACUACAUGGAACUAGAGGUAGGAUCACCUGGCUGGGACACUACAUGGAACUAGAGGUAGGAUCACCUGGUGGGACACUACAUGGAACUAGAGGUAGGAUCACCUGGCUGGGACACUACAUGGAACUAGAGGUAGGUUCACCUGGCUGGGACACUACAUGGAACUAGAGGUAGGAUCACCUGGUGGGACACUACAUGGAACUAGAGGUAGGAUCACCUGGCUGGGACACUACAUGGAACUAGAGGUAGGAUCACCUGGUGGGACACUACAUGGAACUAGAGGUAGGUUCACCUGGUGGGACACUACAUGGAACUAGAGGUAGGAUCACCUGGCUGGGACACUACAUGGAACUAGAGGUAGGAUCACCUGGUGGGACACUACAUGGAACUAGAGGUAGGUUCACCUGGUGGGACACUACAUGGAACUAGAGGUAGGUUCACCUGGUGGGACACUACAUGGAACUAGAGGUAGGUUCACCUGGCUGGGACACUACAUGGAACUAGAGGUAGGUUCACCUGGUGGGACACUACAUGGAACUAGAGGUAGGUUCACCUGGUGGGACACUACAUGGAACUAGAGGUAGGUUCACCUGGUGGGACACUACAUGGAACUAGAGGUAGGAUCACCUGGCUGGGACACUACAUGGAACUAGAGGUAGGUUCACCUGGCUGGGACACUACAUGGAACUAGAGGUAGGUUCACCUGGUGGGACACUACAUGGAACUAGAGGUAGGUUCACCUGGUGGGACACUACAUGGAACUAGAGGUAGGUUCACCUGGUGGGACACUACAUGGAACUAGAGGUAGGAUCACCUGGUGGGACACUACAUGGAACUAGAGGUAGAUUCACCUGGCUGGGACACUACAUGGAACUAGAGGUAGGAUCACCUGGUGGGACACUACAUGGAACUAGAGGUAGGUUCACCUGGCUGGGACACUACAUGGAACUAGAGGUAGGAUCACCUGGUGGGACACUACAUGGAACUAGAGGUAGGAUCACCUGGCUGGGACACUACAUGGAACUAGAGGUAGGAUCACCUGGUGGGACACUACAUGGAACUAGAGGUAGGUUCACCUGGCUGGGACACUACAUGGAACUAGAGGUAGGUUCACCUGGUGGGACACUACAUGGAACUAGAGGUAGGUUCACCUGGUGGGACACUACAUGGAACUAGAGGUAGGUUCACCUGGCUGGGACACUACAUGGAACUAGAGGUAGGUUCACCUGGUGGGACACUACAUGGAACUAGAGGUAGGUUCACCUGGUGGGACACUACAUGGAACUAGAGGUAGGUUCACCUGGUGGGACACUACAUGGAACUAGAGGUAGGAUCACCUGGUGGGACACUACAUGGAACUAGAGGUAGGUUCACCUGGUGGGACACUACAUGGAACUAGAGGUAGGUUCACCUGGUGGGACACUACAUGGAACUAGAGGUAGGUUCACCUGGUGGGACACUACAUGGAACUAGAGGUAGGAUCACCUGGUGGGACACUACAUGGAACUAGAGGUAGGAUCACCUGGUGGGACACUACAUGGAACUACAGGUAGGAUCACCUGGUGGGACACUACAUGGAACUAGAGGUAGGUUCACCUGGUGGGACACUACAUGGAACUAAAGGUAGGUUCACCUGGUGGGACACUACAUGGAACUAGAGGUAGGUUCACCUGGCUGGGACACUACAUGGAACUAGAGGUAGGAUCACCUGGUGGGACACUACAUGGAACUAGAGGUAGGAUCACCUGGCUGGGACACUACAUGGAACUAGAGGUAGGAUCACCUGGUGGGACACUACAUGGAACUAGAGGUAGGUUCACCUGGCUUUGACACUACAUGGAACUAGAGGUAGGUUCACCUGGCUGGGACACUACAUGGAACUAGAGGUAGGAUCACCUGGCUGGGACACUACAUGGAACUAGAGGUAGGUUCACCUGGUGGGACACUACAUGGAACUAGAGGUAGGUUCACCUGGUGGGACACUACAUGGAACUAGAGGUAGGUUCACCUGGUGGGACACUACAUGGAACUAGAGGUAGGUUCACCUGGCUGGGACACUACAUGGAACUAGAGGUAGGUUCACCUGGUGGGACACUACAUGGAACUAGAGGUAGGAUCACCUGGUGGGACACUACAUGGAACUAGAGGUAGGAUCACCUGGCUGGGACACUACAUGGAACUAGAGGUGGUGUUGAGGGAGGACCAGAGGCCUGAGGAGGGGGAGGCGAUUGCUCGCAGCCUGAUGAAGGAGCUGGGUGUCGGGGAUGACAGCCUGGUGACUGGGGCCUACGUGGACCUCUUGCUGGAAGGCCAGGGAUAGAAACACACAGUAACCCUCCCAUGACUAAAGCAUUCCCAUCAUGGAUUGUGAAAGCAACUGAAAAACUGUUUUUGUAAUAAAAAAUAAAAUAAAAAAUA